UCAAAUGAAAAUAUAUCAUCAUCAUCACAGCACAAUUGCACAAACUACACUAUCCUCCCUCAAUAGUAUGAAAGAGAAUAUCAAUCCCAUCUCUAAAAAAGAAUCUACACCACAAACAAAGACUGUAUGAUUAUCAAUACAAUCAAGAAAUAGAGAACCUUCUUCUUCUUGGCUUGGUAAUGUCCACACCAACGUUCUCAUCGAUAUGAGAAGUAUCCUUAGAUCCAUGCCUGAAAGGAUUUAACUUCCCCAAAGUCUUGGACAUUGAUGAGAAGAAAGUGGGCUUCCGAGGGCCACCCUUCGCAGAAGUCCCUUGAUUGUUGUUGUUCUUCUGCAUAUCCGAUAUGAAAAGCUUCAUCUUCAUGAGCUCCGUUCGCAGGGCCUCGUUCUCUCUGAUCAGAGACACAUCGGUCUUCUGCAAUUGAUGCCUUGUAUUGCCAACGCCAAGUUCCGGGGUGCUUCGUUCGUCCACCCCACUUCUUAGUUUAAGCUGAUCAUAGUAUAGGGCAUGCAAAACAAUCUGUACAGGCAAGCGUUUGUUCUGUGAAGCAUGAAGUCGAGCUUCGUAGGAGAGCUUUAACGUGUCCAUCACACUGCAAACCUUCUCUCGCUCUAUCUCGUCAAGGUUCGGAUGAGCCUUCAGAUAGAUAUCAAUGGCACGGUAGAGAUCAUCAUCGACUUUCCUAGCUCCUUUUGGAACUAGAAUGGCGAUUCCAUUGAAUUUGGAGAUACUGAGUUCUCCAUAGGGUUGCGAUCUCGCCGAGAUAGACGUCCACGGUCUUUGCAACUCUCUGCAUCCCAGUAGAACAAUUAUCCUUGAAAUCGCCACCGCUGAAGACAGCCAUGGUUUUUUCCUUCUCCACGAACCCAGAUAUGAUCCUCCUCACGCUCUCUAGAUCAAAGAGUCUCUCACCAUCAUAAGUGAAAGACAAGACCAGAAGAUCAUCCACCGUAACGUGCUCUAAUAUUGCGGAGAUUCGUUUCUCCAGCUCGUUCUUGCAGGAAUUGGAGACUUUGAGGAAGAUGGCAGACCGCAGAAGGCAGCAGAGAAAGUUUAUCGGAAAAGCAGCUUUCUCAGAAGGCAAAAGAGAGACUAUUGAUUGUAGAUGCUCCCGUUGGCGGCUCCUGAGAUCGGAGUCGUCAAGAUCCAAAGACUUGGUGCCGUUGCCAGAAUGAUCUCGAACCAGAUCUCGAAGAUUUCUCUCUGUGUAAGUAACGAGAGCAUUCGCUAGGGUUAGUGCUUUGGCUCCCCGUUUCUUCAUUGCAGAAAUGAUUUUCCCCAGAAAUUCUACAUCUAAAAUAGACAGCUCCUCUGUCCACCAGUUAGGCGGCGAUCGGCUUGGAAAGUUAGCCUCAUUACAGGCCUUAACGCUGACGACAUCUACACAUCUCUGAACAAUUUUAAGGUCUUCAGCCAUGGGAAGAAGAUCUUCGCACGAUUUCAAGACGACAAUCGCGCCAGAGAGGCUAGGCAAGGCAACCUGAGAAAGGAAAUCUUCUGUGCGACCAACGAGGUUAUUGUCGCAGUAUAAAUCAGUCAUUUGGAGAUAUUCAGAAGCACAGCGAAGAGCAGCAACAUUAUGAACAGUGAUUUCAAAGUUGACUCCAUAGCAAAAUUUUGCUGCUUUCUCAAACAUUUCAGGGCCUCCAGGUAUAUCUGAGAGAUUGAUUCUUGUCAGGUCUGGUUCUGUUGAUUCCAUUAUCAAUUUCCUUAUGUAGUUGCUUUUUGCCACCAGCAUGAACUUUUGGAGAGCAAAACUGGCUUCUCCAACUUCAACCACAACAUCUGUUGGAAUUUCUUGAGAAAAAACCCAUUGGCCUGUUCUCUCAAUGGCAAUGGACAGCAAACUGUUGCUUCUGAGAGGAGUAGCCAUUUCCGCUGCCCGUAGAAAGAAA
Molecule: unclassified non-coding RNA, 1896 nt
Filed under: Hevea brasiliensis (rubber tree)
Lineage: Eukaryota; Viridiplantae; Streptophyta; Magnoliopsida; Malpighiales; Euphorbiaceae
Source: RNAcentral